AAGUCGUUAUUGUUUGCGUUAAUCACGUAGGAUAGGAAGGCGAAUCGGAAUUUUUAUUAACUACUAGUAAUAUACAUACACAGAGUAUAAAAUACUGUAUUGGCUUUAUCGCUUUUUGGGAGUGUUGGCCUCAGUCAGUCUUGAGAGACAGAACCACACCAACUUGUAUAAUUACAUUCUUCUACGUUAGUUCAUCAGUCGUUCCUUUACUCUGAUCAUCCGAAUCAUUCUCUCUCUCUCUCUCUCACUUCAUCUCUACGCAAAAUAAAUGGAAACCCAGUUUGAACAAAUUUGAAUUUUGUUGCAGGUUCUACUAGAUUUUACUAGUAAUUGUAUUUUCUUUUUAAUCUCAAUUCUCAUAGCUCCUUCAUCGCCUCCUCUAAUGUGAUUUAUUUACAAUCUCAGUGAUCCAGCGAAACGGAGACUGUGAUUAUGGCUUCUUCUAAGAUUAAGUAAG
This 457-nucleotide long non-coding RNA is filed under the name Capsella grandiflora. RNAcentral's name for it is "long non-coding RNA (CGRA_LNC000989)". The record is from RNAcentral. Lineage: Eukaryota; Viridiplantae; Streptophyta; Magnoliopsida; Brassicales; Brassicaceae.